ACCAACGACUGCGCCACGUUGAAUGCACCAGUUCUCGUCCGAUCACUGAAGUUAAGCGACGUUGGGCGUGGUCAGUACUCGGAUGGGUGACCACCUGGGAGAUCACGUGUUGUUGGUU
Molecule: ribosomal RNA, 118 nt
Filed under: Olea europaea subsp. europaea
Lineage: Eukaryota; Viridiplantae; Streptophyta; Magnoliopsida; Lamiales; Oleaceae
Source: RNAcentral